UUUACAUUAAUAAAUUGUAGCGAUUUUACAGAAAACAUAGAAAUUUAGGACUAACAUUGUGUAAUUUAUUUCUUUUCAGGUACCCCCGCCAGAAGGACGGAAGCAUAGAGUCGCUGAGGAGCCUAAAUAGCCAUUACAGGUGAGUUUUUGUUGUGUGUUGGCUGUGGACUGUUGUGGCCGCAGGGAGUGGGCCACUUGCAACAAGUAUGUCCGGCUGGAGUUGCAGAUGCAAGUUGCCGAUCGUCAGGAAGAGGAGUUGCGCAGACAUAUCCCACGCAGCUGUCGUUGCAUUUUUAUUGAGCUGCUGGCGUUAUGGUGGUGGAGUGCUCUCUAGUGAGAAGUCGUCAGUGCGGAUUGAAGCUCGAUCUAUCACCGAGGAGAGCCAGGUGCGCCGCGUCUUGUGGCCGUAGCAUCAGGAUUGGCAGCUAGUGGCCGCCGGUUCGAGAUUUGUUGCAGAGAGCGGCCGCAACAAGAAUGGCAUGGAAAUGGAUGUAAAAAUAGAAUUUGGUACAUUGAGUGGAAUUUAAUUUAAG
Drosophila mauritiana is the source of this 533-nucleotide long non-coding RNA. RefSeq lists it as uncharacterized. The transcript has 3 exons. The record is from RefSeq and is a predicted model, not a curated record. Lineage: Eukaryota; Metazoa; Arthropoda; Insecta; Diptera; Drosophilidae.